AACGAACGCUGGCGGCAGGCCUAACACAUGCAAGUCGAGCGCACCCUUCGGGGCGAGCGGCGGACGGGUUAGUAACGCGUGGGAAUAUACCCUUCACUACGGAAUAGCCUCGGGAAACUGAGAGUAAUACCGUAUACGCCCUUCGGGGGAAAGAUUUAUCGGUGAUGGAUUAGCCCGCGUCUGAUUAGAUAGUUGGUGGGGUAAUGGCCUACCAAGUCUACGAUCAGUAGCUGGUUUUAGAGGAUGAUCAGCAACACUGGGACUGAGACACGGCCCAGACUCCUACGGGAGGCAGCAGUGGGGAAUCUUAGACAAUGGGCGAAAGCCUGAUCUAGCCAUGCCGCGUGUGUGAUGAAGGCCUUAGGGUCGUAAAGCACUUUCGCCAGGGAUGAUAAUGACAGUACCUGGUAAAGAAACCCCGGCUAACUCCGUG
RNAcentral lists this ribosomal RNA (433 nucleotides) under uncultured Alphaproteobacteria bacterium. Its description in RNAcentral is "bacterial SSU rRNA". It matches the Rfam family "Bacterial small subunit ribosomal RNA", at positions 29 to 507 of the family's 1533-position model. Lineage: Bacteria; Pseudomonadati; Pseudomonadota; Alphaproteobacteria. The record is from RNAcentral.